RNAcentral lists this ribosomal RNA (477 nucleotides) under uncultured bacterium. RNAcentral describes it as "partial 16S ribosomal RNA". It matches the Rfam family "Bacterial small subunit ribosomal RNA", at positions 29 to 507 of the family's 1533-position model. The record is from RNAcentral.
AUGAACGCUGGCGGCGUGCUUAACCCCUGCCAGUCGAACGGGAAACCUUUUAUUGAAGCUUCGGCAGAUUUAGCUGGUUUCUAGUGGCGGACGGGUGAGUAACGCGUGGGUAACCUGCCUUAUACAGGGGGAUAACAACCAGAAAUGGUUGCUAAUACCGCAUAAGCGCACAGGACCGCAUGGUCCGGUGUGAAAAACUCCGGUGGUAUAAGAUGGACCCGCGUUGGAUUAGCUAGUUGGCAGGGUAACGGCCUACCAAGGCGACGAUCCAUAGCCGGCCUGAGAGGGUGAACGGCCACAUUGGGACUGAGACACGGCCCAGACUCCUACGGGAGGCAGCAGUGGGGAAUAUUGCACAAUGGGGGAAACCCUGAUGCAGCGACGCCGCGUGAAGGAAGAAGUAUCUCGGUAUGUAAACUUCUAUCAGCAGGGAAGAUAGUGACGGUACCUGACUAAGAAGCCCCGGCUAACUACGUG